GUGGGGAAUUUUGGACAAUGGGCGCAAGCCUGAUCCAGCCAUGCCGCGUGCGGGAAGAAGGCCUUCGGGUUGUAAACCGCUUUUGUCAGGGAAGAAACGGUCUGAACUAAUACUUUGGACUAAUGACGGUACCUGAAGAAUAAGCACCGGCUAACUACGUGCCAGCAGCCGCGGUAAUACGUAGGGUGCAAGCGUUAAUCGGAAUUACUGGGCGUAAAGCGUGCGCAGGCGGCUUUGCAAGACAGAUGUGAAAUCCCCGGGCUCAACCUGGGAACUGCAUUUGUGACUGCAUGGCUAGAGUACGGUAGAGGGGGAUGGAAUUCCGCGUGUAGCAGUGAAAUGCGUAGAUAUGCGGAGGAACACCGAUGGCGAAGGCAAUCCCCUGGACCUGUACUGACGCUCAUGCACGAAAGCGUGGGGAGCAAACAGGAUUAGAUACCCCGGUAGUCC
RNAcentral lists this ribosomal RNA (450 nucleotides) under uncultured bacterium. Its description in RNAcentral is "bacterial SSU rRNA". It matches the Rfam family "Bacterial small subunit ribosomal RNA", at positions 354 to 796 of the family's 1533-position model. The record is from RNAcentral.